Long non-coding RNA from Pseudophryne corroboree (corroboree frog), 426 nucleotides. RefSeq lists it as uncharacterized. NCBI's taxonomy places the organism in Eukaryota, Metazoa, Chordata, Amphibia, Anura, Myobatrachidae. The record is from RefSeq and is a predicted model, not a curated record. The transcript has 2 exons.
CAGCCGUUGCCAUGAUUCGGAGAGGGAGCAGCCAGAAAGUUGGAAACAUGGGUUAAAUGGGCGUUCGUGCAUAGGCAAAGCUUAGUGAGGGAGUCAAAGGUUCUGGAGACUGGAAAGCAACCAGGCAUGAAGGAUUCAGCAAUGGAGGCACUGGUUUCCCUGGGUGCAGGAAUGUCACAGAGCAGUGAGGAGGAGGUGUAAAGAGGCUCCGGGAGCCCAGCUGAGCGGCUUAGAGUAAAACACGAUGGAGAAAUGGGAAAACAUUCUAUUAGCGGCCCCGUCUCCCAUGACAUUGCUGCGGCUGACGGAACUUCUUAUCCCUCUGCAACAGCAGCAUACUAUAAAAUAGUGCUUACAUUGUAGCUUUAUUUGCAAUGUGUACAAGCAGAAAAUAAAUCAAUAAAGCAAAUAAAGUAACAAACACAA